GUACAAAGGUAGCAUAAUAAGUUGUUUUUUAAUUAAAGACUGGAAUGAAAGAAUUGAUGAAAUUUAAACUUUCUAAAAUUUAAAAUUUAAAUUUUUUUAUUAAGUAAAAAGACUUAAAUUGAUUUAUGGGACGAGAAGACCCUAUAGAAUUUUAUAUAGUUUAUCUUAAAAUUUUAUUUAAACUAUAUUUAGUUGGGAGGACUAUUAAAACUUAAAACUUUAAUAUAUUUAAAAUAUUACUUUGAUAAAAGGAAUUUAAAAAUUAAUAAUUUAUAAUUAAUUUAAUAUUAAUUACCUUAGGGAUAACAGCAUAAUAUUUUUUUUUAGAUCAUAUAUAAAAAAUUGUUUAUGACCUCGAUGUUGAAUUAAGAUAAAAUUUGAAAGGAGAUUUUUAAAUUUUUGGU
RNAcentral lists this ribosomal RNA (404 nucleotides) under Neoponera inversa. RNAcentral describes it as "partial 16S ribosomal RNA". The record is from RNAcentral. Lineage: Eukaryota; Metazoa; Arthropoda; Insecta; Hymenoptera; Formicidae.